UGCCUCUGGCGACAGAGGCAUGUAGUCUAGACGUACCCUUAAUUAGCCCAUUUGACCAUAGUUUGAAUUUACAUCAGAGAAAAACUCACCUGUGAAACAUGUAGCAGCCAUGUGAGAAGCACAAAGAGGCUAGAAUUUUUGCAGUGCAUUUUAUCAAUCAAGCCUUUGGAAACUGAGUUCUAGUCUGGGAUAAUACUAACAGAAAUUGCAGACCCUGAAAAAGUCAGAAACUCUUUUACAGCAUUUUCAUUACAUCUACUUAUUUCCUGUUCCUGAUGUAACAGAUUUGUCUUUGGGGUGGGCAGGGAAUAAUUUUGCUGUGUUAGUCAGACAUUUACAGUCUUUCAUUAUUCAAACAAAGAGCACAGGGUUUCAUUUGAUGUUCAACCCUUAUCAGAUGCCUGUUGAGUAUGAGUGAUCAUUCACAACAUUAUUUUCCCCAAACCACACAAAGGCACUUGUACUCAACAUUUUGAAAAUUAUGUCUGAUUAAAAUAAUGGGUUCUAGUGGACAGCAUUUGCAACCUUAAUGAUAGUUAUUGAUGGCUAUUAGCACCCUUAAUGAUGGCUAUUAGCACCCAUUUGAAUGUCUCAUUACAGUUAAAUAGGAGCUGGCUUUCUGCUUGAUUGAAACGUAGUGGAUAAAUGUACCAGGAAUUUGCAGAUGCCAACAAAAUUAAGUAGCUUCUCUUCCAGCAUUGUCCUUCCAUCUUUACACAUGUUCUGUAGCCAUAAGUCUUAACCUAAAUUUACUGCUCUGUGUUAAUUUUAUAUUCUCCUGUCAGUCUCUGUGGACUUUCCAACAUAUCACAAUAUCUUUGUUCUGUGACUUUUUGUAAAUGUCAAAUUAGAUGUACUGGUUGUGAUGCUUUGCCCGUUAGUCUUUGCUCACAUGUGUUGAGUCUGUACAUCAAAAAAUACACAGAUGUUAAGACAGAAGAGGAAAUAGAAUGUCAGAAGGAUAUUGGGCCAAAAAUAGUCAAACAGCAGUCAAGGCUAAUUCAGGAUUGCAUCAUUUCAAGAAGACAAAACAAUUCCCGAUUGUACUUGGACGAGAAAAGGGAGACAGAAGAUUUGGCAUUAACUUUGAACUUUGAUUCUGAAUGAGAUGAUACCCAUGUGUUAGACACCUGAGUAUCAAGUAACAUGUUCCAGAUACCCAAUGGUAUGUGAAUGGCAUAUACUAAUAAUUGGAGAAGACUGGAAGUCCACAAAAAGAUCUUCUGGUCUCCCCCAGGCAAGGCCCAGAGCUGAGAUAACCACCCCCCUUCUCCCUAAGAGCAAUGCAGACGCUGAAUCACUUCAGCCCUGGGAGAAAUGCAGUUCAAGGGCACAGUGUCCAGGAAACCAACCUCGAGAUGGUAUCAAAACCCCAAAUAGAUCUCUUUGUCACUGUGUGAGAGUUUCACACAUUGAAAGCUCAUUCAGAUACCAGUUUAAGUGGCAUUGUAUCAUAUUGCUAGAGUUCAUGCUUAAACUUUGAUCCUGCCACAGAUUCUGUUUUUUAAAUGCUCUGUACAAAUAUAUCACAUUAAAU
This is a non-coding RNA of Pelodiscus sinensis (Chinese soft-shelled turtle), 1537 nucleotides long. The record is from RefSeq and is a predicted model, not a curated record. Lineage: Eukaryota; Metazoa; Chordata; Testudines; Trionychidae.